CUCCCCUAACUUUUUCUGCAGAUCAGCAAGUGAUCUGCAACUUCAUAAAGCUGUACACAGGUUGUGGAUUUAGUGCCACUGAAUGUCAUUUUGAAUGGUCUGAUUCAAGUAGUGGAGGAAACUGUGUCCAUGGGCAAGAGUGUGGGUCUGGACAUCUAAGGUGCACACACAGAGGAACUUGGUGAAGACCAUCUGGAGGACCUGAUGAUGCAAGAACUUGCUGAACUCUAGUUUGAGCAGCAGAAGAUGCUUGCUGAAGAGCAUUUCGCAGAGGAAGACAGGGGGACUUCCCAUCAGGAAAGAUGAGCAAGAUGAGUCAGAAAAAUUCCCCCGAACACAUAAAAGGGAGGUAAAAAGCAUAUUUAAUUUGAAAACAGGAUCCAUGAACUGAAUAUAGG
This 398-nucleotide long non-coding RNA is filed under the name Fukomys damarensis (Damara mole-rat). RNAcentral describes it as "lncRNA (ENSFDAG00000022566.1)". The record is from RNAcentral. Lineage: Eukaryota; Metazoa; Chordata; Mammalia; Rodentia; Bathyergidae.